Schistosoma haematobium is the source of this 46-nucleotide non-coding RNA. The record is from Rfam. Lineage: Eukaryota; Metazoa; Platyhelminthes; Trematoda; Strigeidida; Schistosomatidae.
GCUCUGUAGAAGAGUCCUACAAUAGGACGAAACGGCCGUCCAGUGC